RNAcentral lists this ribosomal RNA (497 nucleotides) under uncultured bacterium. RNAcentral's name for it is "partial 16S ribosomal RNA". It matches the Rfam family "Bacterial small subunit ribosomal RNA", at positions 28 to 507 of the family's 1533-position model. The record is from RNAcentral.
GAUGAACGCUGGCGGCGUGCCUAAUACAUGCAAGUCGAGCGAACGGACGAGAAGCUUGCUUCUCUGAUGUUAGCGGCGGACGGGUGAGUAACACGUGGAUAACCUACCUAUAAGACUGGGAUAACUUCGGGAAACCGUAGCUAAUACCGGAUAAUAUUUUGAACCGCAUGGUUCAAAAGUGAAAGACGGUCUUGCUGUCACUUAUAGAUGGAUCCGCGCUGCAUUAGCUAGUUGGUAAGGUAACGGCUUACCAAGGCAACGAUGCAUAGCCGACCUGAGAGGGUGAUCGGCCACCCUGGAACUGAGACACGGUCCAGACUCCUACGGGAGGCAGCAGUAGGGAAUCUUCCGCAAUGGGCGAAAGCCUGACGGAGCAACGCCGCGUGAGUGAUGAAGGUCUUCGGAUCGUAAAACUCUGUUAUUAGGGAAGAACAUAUGUGUAAGUAACUGUGCACAUCUUGACGGAACCUAAUCAGAAAGCCACGGCUAACUACGUG